GCGGUCGUGGCGGAAUUGGUAGACGCGCAGCGUUGAGGUCGCUGUGUCCGAAAGGACGUGGAAGUUCGAGUCUUCUCGACCGCACCA
RNAcentral lists this transfer RNA (87 nucleotides) under Sphingosinicella sp. BN140058. RNAcentral's name for it is "tRNA-Leu". It matches the Rfam family "tRNA". Rfam says of the family: Transfer RNA (tRNA) molecules are approximately 80 nucleotides in length. Their secondary structure includes four short double-helical elements and three loops (D, anti-codon, and T loops). The record is from RNAcentral. Lineage: Bacteria; Pseudomonadati; Pseudomonadota; Alphaproteobacteria; Sphingomonadales; Sphingosinicellaceae. RNAcentral also lists the same sequence under 1 other name.